Non-coding RNA from Pelobates cultripes (western spadefoot toad), 270 nucleotides. Lineage: Eukaryota; Metazoa; Chordata; Amphibia; Anura; Pelobatidae. The record is from the annotation of a GenBank genome assembly.
CUAGAGUAAUCUUUAUUACGACUGCUAUUGCCUGCAUCAAAUUUGUCAUUUAUGAUGGUUGAAUAUUAAACAGCCCACUGUACACUGUCAGGGAUUAUCAAUCACAUUUGAUGUGAGUAAUUUAAAACCAUGGCUCGAAAGUUCCAGUUGCUUGCUAAGAGCCAGGAUUAAAAUGUACUCAUCAUCAAAAAUAUGAACACGCAAUUUUCUUAUUUAUUUAUAGUGUGUUUAUUUUGAGUAAGCUACCCCACUCAGUUGUAUGUGAGCAAG